AGGGGCGUAGCUCAAUUGGCAGAGCAUCGGUCUCCAAAACCGAAGGUCGGGGGUUCGAUUCCCUCCGCCCCUG
Molecule: transfer RNA, 73 nt
Filed under: Egibacter rhizosphaerae
Lineage: Bacteria; Bacillati; Actinomycetota; Nitriliruptoria; Egibacterales; Egibacteraceae
Rfam family: tRNA
About the family: Transfer RNA (tRNA) molecules are approximately 80 nucleotides in length. Their secondary structure includes four short double-helical elements and three loops (D, anti-codon, and T loops).
Source: Rfam by way of RNAcentral